Molecule: ribosomal RNA, 234 nt
Filed under: uncultured bacterium
Lineage: Bacteria
Description: partial 16S ribosomal RNA
Rfam family: Bacterial small subunit ribosomal RNA
Source: RNAcentral
CGUGGGUAACCUGCCCUUUAAACUGGGAUAACUUCGCGAAAGCGAUGCUAAUACCGGAUAUUGUCUCUGAGGCUGUGGUUUUGGAGAUGAAAGGUGACCUCUUCAUGAAAGUUGCCGUUCAAGGAUGGGCUCGCGUACCAUUAGCUAGUUGGUGGGGUAAUGGCCCACCAAGGCGACGAUGGUUAGCUGGUCUGAGAGGAUGAUCAGCCACACUGGAACUGGAACACGGUCCAG